Molecule: ribosomal RNA, 579 nt
Filed under: Triticum aestivum (bread wheat)
Lineage: Eukaryota; Viridiplantae; Streptophyta; Magnoliopsida; Poales; Poaceae
Description: partial small subunit ribosomal RNA
Source: RNAcentral
UCAUGGUACAUCCUACUUCAGCGGUUGUCCAGGGUUCAAUUAUCACAUGAGUCUGAUGUAUUUAGAUGGAACCUACAUGGGAAUGGACAAUUCUUAGUGGAGUCUAUGUAUAGAGCGUUAAUCCAGUCUAAUGUGCGAGUUGAUAAUAAGAAGAAGAUGUGGAAAAUGAAGAUACCUCUUAAGAGUAAAAUCUUUGUAUGGUAACUUCGUCGCGGAGUUAUUCUUACUAAAGUUAACCUUAUUAAGAGAAAUUGGCACGGAAGCCUGCAGUGUGUUUUUUGUCACCAUGAUGAGACAAUAAAACAUUUAUUCUUCCGAUGCAAAUUGUCUCGUUCUAUAUGGUCAGUCAUCCAGAUAGCUUCUGGCUUGUAUCCUCCUUGUAGUGUUGCUAAUGUAUUUGGAAACUGGUUAAAUGGAAUAGAUCACAGGUUCAGAACUCUUUUUAGGGUGGGAGCGCUUGCCGUUAUUUGGUCGUUUUGGCUAUGUAGAAAUGAUAAGGUUUUUAACGAUAAAAGUACUUCUCUGAUGCAGGUUAUCUACAGAUGUACCGGGACUCUUCAUUUAUGGUCCUCUCUAUAA